Molecule: ribosomal RNA, 253 nt
Filed under: uncultured bacterium
Lineage: Bacteria
Description: partial 16S ribosomal RNA
Rfam family: Bacterial small subunit ribosomal RNA
Source: RNAcentral
UACGUAGGUGGCAAGCGUUAUCCGGAUUUAUUGGGCGUAAAGCGAACGCAGGCGGUCUUUUAAGUCUGAUGUGAAAGCCUUCGGCUUAACCGGUGUAGUGCAUUGGAAACUGGGAGACUUGAGUGCAGAAGAGGAGAGUGGAACUCCAUGUGUAGCGGUGAAAUGCGUAGAUAUAUGGAAGAACACCAGUGGCGAAAGCGGCUCUCUGGUCUGUAACUGACGCUGAGGUUCGAAAGCGUGGGUAGCAAACAGG